RNAcentral lists this ribosomal RNA (892 nucleotides) under Hypoxylon perforatum. Its description in RNAcentral is "partial large subunit ribosomal RNA". It matches the Rfam family "Eukaryotic large subunit ribosomal RNA", at positions 68 to 986 of the family's 3401-position model. The record is from RNAcentral. Lineage: Eukaryota; Fungi; Ascomycota; Sordariomycetes; Xylariales; Hypoxylaceae.
ACAGGGAUUGCCCUAGUAACGGCGAGUGAAGCGGCAACAGCUCAAAUUUGAAAUCUGGCCCUCGGGUCCGAAUUGUAAUUUGUAGAGGAUGCUUUUGGUGCGGUGCCUUCCGAGUUCCCUGGAACGGGACGCCAGAGAGGGUGAGAGCCCCGUACGGUUGGACACCUACCCUAUAUAUAGCUCCUUCGACGAGUCGAGUAGUUUGGGAAUGCUGCUCUAAAUGGGAGGUAAAUUUCUUCUAAAGCUAAAUACCGGCCAGAGACCGAUAGCGCACAAGUAGAGUGAUCGAAAGAUGAAAAGCACUUUGAAAAGAGGGUUAAAUAGCACGUGAAAUUGUUGAAAGGGAAGCGUUUGUGACCAGACUUUUUCCUAGUGGAUCAUCCGGUGUUCUCACCGGUGCACUUCACUGGGUUUAGGCCAGCAUCGGUUUCCGGAGGGGGACAAAAGCAUGGGGAAUGUGGCUCUUUCGGGAGUGUUAUAGCCCCUAGCAUAAUACCUCUCCUGGGGACCGAGGACCGCGCUUCGGCAAGGAUGCUGGCGUAAUGGUUAUCAACGACCCGUCUUGAAACACGGACCAAGGAGUCGAACAUUUGUGCGAGUGUUUGGGUAUCAAACCCUCACGCGUAAUGAAAGUGAACGGAGGUGAGAGCCCUUCGGGGUGCAUCAUCGACCGAUCCUGAUGUCUUCGGAUGGAUUUGAGUAAGAGCAUAACUGUUCGGACCCGAAAGAUGGUGAACUAUGCGUGGAUAGGGUGAAGCCAGAGGAAACUCUGGUGGAGGCUCGCAGCGGUUCUGACGUGCAAAUCGAUCGUCAAAUCUGCGCAUGGGGGCGAAAGACUUAUCGAACCAUCUAGUAGCUGGUUACUGCCGAAGUCCCCCUCCGAAGAAUUGUU